GUGCUCAUUUCAGCAGCACAAACACUAAAGCUGAAAUGAUACAGAGAAGAUUAGCAUGGCACCUGAACAAGAAUGACACAAACAUUUGUGAAGCAUUCCACAGUUUU
Molecule: small nuclear RNA, 107 nt
Organism: Saimiri boliviensis boliviensis (Bolivian squirrel monkey)
Lineage: Eukaryota; Metazoa; Chordata; Mammalia; Primates; Cebidae
Source: RefSeq, a predicted model, not a curated record